CCUCUUCCAUCUCAUCAAGUACUCAGCUAUCAUCAUCAACAUCAUCAUCAUCAUCCUCACAGUGUUGAAGAAAAGGAUCAACUAUUAGGUGCAACUUUCUUGUAUCAAUAAGUUGGUCUAUUUAAUUACUUUAUAAUUUGUAUGUAAAUAUGCGUGACAUGUUCUCCUUUCUUCUUGUUAUUUAGGUUAGGUUUUGGGGAAUAUAUGUUACAAUC
RNAcentral lists this unclassified non-coding RNA (215 nucleotides) under Hevea brasiliensis (rubber tree). Lineage: Eukaryota; Viridiplantae; Streptophyta; Magnoliopsida; Malpighiales; Euphorbiaceae. The record is from RNAcentral.